Molecule: long non-coding RNA, 432 nt
Organism: Lolium rigidum
Lineage: Eukaryota; Viridiplantae; Streptophyta; Magnoliopsida; Poales; Poaceae
Exons: 3
Source: RefSeq, a predicted model, not a curated record
CGCCAGGCCUCCUCGCCCCAGUGCCCUCGUCGCUGCUAAGGAACUGGUCACCUGGGCGUCUGGCCCUCCUCCACUGGCAGCCUCAGCCACACCUACACAGGAUAUGGCACCAGAUACUUUCCUGAAAUUUCUGUUCAAAAAUGCAAGCGCAAGAUUGUGACAAAAAACAGUUCAGUUUGGUCUUCUCUUUAGGGCGAAGAAGGGAAAGGGAGUUCACGUACCUGUAAAAAACGAGAGGGGAAAAUGCCACUGGUACACUUGUUUAUUUUAGGCAGUUGGUGCACUUGAUCUGGAGUUCACUCGGUGAUCUCACUUAAAAGCACUAGCAGUCCGCUGUAGUUCACAUCGCUCUAGCACUUGUAGCUCCAUCUUCAGGUUUGCGAACUGUUGAUUUCUAGUUUUGGGCGAUGUAUUGCAAAAUUGCAGGGAUAA